GGGGACAACAGUUGGAAACGACUGCUAAUACCGCAUAAGCGCACAGUACCGCAUGGUACAGUGUGAAAAACUCCGGUGGUGUGAGAUGGACCCGCGUCUGAUUAGCUAGUUGGCAGGGCAACGGCCUACCAAGGCGACGAUCAGUAGCCGACCUGAGAGGGUGACCGGCCACAUUGGGACUGAGACACGGCCCAAACUCCUACGGGAGGCAGCAGUGGGGAAUAUUGCACAAUGGGGGAAACCCUGAUGCAGCGACGCCGCGUGAGCGAAGAAGUAUUUCGGUAUGUAAAGCUCUAUCAGCAGGGAAGAAGAAAUGACGGUACCUGGCUAAGAAGCACCGGCUAAAUACGUGCCAGCAGCCGCGGUAAUACGUAUGGUGCAAGCGUUAUCCGGAUUUACUGGGUGUAAAGGGAGCGCAGGCGGAAGGCUAAGUCUGAUGUGAAAGCCCGGGGCUCAACCCCGGUACUGCAUUGGAAACUGGUCAUCUAGAGUGUCGGAGGGGUAAGUGGAAUUCCUAGUGUAGCGGUGAAAUGCGUAGAUAUUAGGAGGAACACCAGUGGCGAAGGCGGCUUACUGGACGAUAACUGACGCUGAGGCUCGAAAGCGUGGGGAGCAAACAGGAUU
RNAcentral lists this ribosomal RNA (624 nucleotides) under uncultured bacterium. Its description in RNAcentral is "bacterial SSU rRNA". It matches the Rfam family "Bacterial small subunit ribosomal RNA", at positions 139 to 779 of the family's 1533-position model. The record is from RNAcentral.